RNAcentral lists this ribosomal RNA (301 nucleotides) under uncultured bacterium. RNAcentral describes it as "partial 16S ribosomal RNA". It matches the Rfam family "Bacterial small subunit ribosomal RNA", at positions 509 to 807 of the family's 1533-position model. The record is from RNAcentral.
CAGUAGCCGCGGUAAUGCGAAGGGUGCAAGCGUUAAUCGGAAUUACUGGGCGUAAAGCGUGCGUAGGCGGUGAGUUAAGUCUGCUGUGAAAUCCCCGGGCUCAACCUGGGAAUGGCAGUGGAUACUGGCUCGCUAGAGUGUGUCAGAGGAUGGUGGAAUUCCCGGUGUAGCGGUGAAAUGCGUAGAGAUCGGGAGGAACAUCAGUGGCGAAGGCGGCCAUCUGGGACAACACUGACGCUGAGGCACGAAAGCGUGGGGAGCAAACAGGAUUAGAUACCCCAGUAGUCCCUGUCUCUUAUAC